Molecule: small RNA, 38 nt
Filed under: Arabidopsis thaliana (thale cress)
Lineage: Eukaryota; Viridiplantae; Streptophyta; Magnoliopsida; Brassicales; Brassicaceae
Description: ATSL120910
Source: RNAcentral
GUUUUUUUUUGGUUUUGGGUUAGAAAAAUCGAAAUCUU